UGAGCCCAGGAGGUCAAGGCUUCAGUGAGCCAUGAUUGCACCACUGCACUCCAGCCUGGGCGACAGAAUAAGAUCCUGUCAAAAAAACAAACACUACUCUUGAAACAAAUCAGGCAGGGAGCCACCGUGGAAUUUUCCCACUUGGGAGGCGUAGGGCACAAUUAGUCCACCACCAUCAGGCCAAAGUCAGGUAAUCACCAACCAGACCUCCGGAAGGGCAAAUCUCCUAGAUAGCCUCUGGAAGAGGAUCCACAGACCUGCACGCUGCACCCCGCACCACGCCCACAUGCCUCUCACACCAAGCUUCCCUUUAAAACUCCUACGGUGAAUUUUAAAAUGUAAGAUGGUACACUAGCUCACCCUCCUCUUGGUUUUCUGACUUUCCAAUUAAACCUGCUUUUCCUCCCACCAACCCUCACCCCUUGUGUUCUGGCUUUUAAGUGGUGAGCAGCUGAACCUGGGUCUGGUUACAUGGCCACAUCAUUACCUAUGCGUGCGCGUGUUCGAGUGGGCAGAAUUAUAUGGUGACAUCUGAAUGGGGGAGGGAUCUGUCCUCAGAACUCAUUUCCUCUGUGUCUACAGUCCCCACUGACCCUGGGAGAGACAUCAGAUCAUAGGACAAUUUACGACGUGACAGGCUGUGUGCAGGAGAACAGAGCCUCAAUUCUUCAAGACACCUGGAAUCUCCCUCCAGCCCAGGGCCUGCCUGACCCAUGCUGGGUGAUUCACAGAAUGAAAGAAGAGACAUGUGAGAUCUGUAUGGCUUUGGAUUCAGUUCCAAAGUUUGCCUCCUGGACUCAGAAACUGGCCAUUGGUCUGAAUUAGACUCUGAGAGCUGGCAGGUCACUGAGCCUUCCUUCACUUUGUAGAUGAUGAAAAGAAAAAUUGGGAGUUCAAUAAAACCGGGACUAAAA
RNA transcript from Chlorocebus sabaeus (green monkey), 914 nucleotides. It is a transcript of the gene named nuclear protein 2, transcriptional regulator, with no coding region annotated. Lineage: Eukaryota; Metazoa; Chordata; Mammalia; Primates; Cercopithecidae. The record is from RefSeq and is a predicted model, not a curated record.